GUAAGUCGUAAGUACCUAGCGGUGUAUGC
RNAcentral lists this small RNA (29 nucleotides) under Bombyx mori (domestic silkworm). RNAcentral's name for it is "ovarian small RNA-5480". The record is from RNAcentral. Lineage: Eukaryota; Metazoa; Arthropoda; Insecta; Lepidoptera; Bombycidae.